Molecule: long non-coding RNA, 602 nt
Organism: Limulus polyphemus (Atlantic horseshoe crab)
Lineage: Eukaryota; Metazoa; Arthropoda; Merostomata; Xiphosura; Limulidae
Exons: 2
Source: RefSeq, a predicted model, not a curated record
UUAGGUCUACAGCCUUUCAUGAUAAUGCUCUUUCGGUCGUAUAGUACCUCUUCUAUGGCUUCUUUUAUUAAAAUCUUUCAGGAAAUGUUUGAUUUACCAUAAGACAUUUACACAGAAGUGGAAGCCGGCUGCUUUCAAUUACCAUGUGAUAUGAACUCUUGGUUGUUUCACUUAUUAAUCAAUAGGCGGUGUUGCUGACCCAAAAUUCAUAGCCGUUCGUGAAAGGAUUUCAAACUUGAACACCAGUAUUUCCGUAGAAAACAGAUGUCUAACAUUAUUCCAUGAGAGAAAAAAAAACAACAACUUUAAAUCAGUAGCUUUAAUUAAGUUCGUUCAUUUUAUUGGGAUAUUGAAAUAUUAAUAAUACAUUAGGUGUAACUCUAAGAAUAUCAUGAAAACCUGCACAGCUUAUCAUCACUAAGAAAUUUUAGUAUGCAGUCUCGACAUCAUUACUUAUUCCAAAUUGUAAGCCUUAAAAAACUAUAAUUUCCAUGUCUAUAUUUUGAAUGAUCAUCAGAGAGCUGUAUAAGUAAAGCACUGUGUUUUACAGAGAGUUGUAUAAGUAAAGCACUGUUUUUUAAUAAAAUAAAAAGAAGAGAGAA